This 826-nucleotide long non-coding RNA is filed under the name Lepisosteus oculatus (spotted gar). RNAcentral's name for it is "lncRNA (ENSLOCG00000023244.1)". The record is from RNAcentral. Lineage: Eukaryota; Metazoa; Chordata; Actinopteri; Semionotiformes; Lepisosteidae.
UCCAGGUCGCCCAGCAGGCCCAACAUCCGUCUGAGCAAGAAUGAUAAGAGGGAGCUCCUGGAAAUUGCAAGAGCCAACGCCGCCAGGGCCCUCGGGGUGGAUGACUUGGAACUGCCGGACAGCGUGAAGGCCGAGCUGCUGGCGGACGGGCGGGAGAAAGGGGUGAGGCGAGAGAGUACCACUCUGAAGGGUCUGAAGGAGCAUAAUAAAAAGACUGAAGCAGAAGAGGAGUCUCCUUACACGGAGAUGUCACCUAAAAACAAGUUGAUUGUUUUCAGCCCAAAAAAUGCUGUGGCAAAGCCAUCAUAUUGCACACAACCAGGCAGUCCUGAAUCCACAGUCAAGUUUGAAAGCAAGAAAAACGGAUACCCUUAUGGACUUUGGGUACCAGUCGCUCAACAAGCAAAAACUAAUGGGCUGUUUUCAAAUAUAUCUCCCAAAAAUUCCUUCAUAAAGACGCGGUAGCUUCAGGAGCAAGUGUUUCUGUAAAUUUAAUGUAUUUUUUUGUACAUAGAAUUUAUAUUAUAUGGGGAGGGUGGGCUGUUAAAAAUGGUUUUAAAUAUUAGAUGUUUUCUUUCAGAUGUUAUGUGAAAUGAAGACUGGACAAGAUUUCAUACAGGUGGGAAUUUUAAUCUAAACUUGUUACAGUGAGUGUUUUGCAUUUGUAUUUUUUUUCAUCCUCUUGGUCCUUGAAUAAAAAUAAAUUUGAAACUGGGUGUUUUGAGUGGUUUUGUCAAAACUGUGAAGUUCCUUCAGACACGGUUCAUACAAAGACCAACUUUUCAGACAAAAAUGAAAUUCAACAGCCAUGAAAUGGAUGCAGGUA